This 1307-nucleotide long non-coding RNA is filed under the name Struthio camelus australis. RNAcentral's name for it is "lncRNA (ENSSCUG00000008570.1)". Lineage: Eukaryota; Metazoa; Chordata; Aves; Struthioniformes; Struthionidae. The record is from RNAcentral.
CUGACACACAGGCUUCCUUAUUUGUCUAAAAUCACUGAGCUGAUCUUUGCUGCCAUGUCACUGGAAUAUAUUGACUUUAUUGCUUACUGGUACUUUUAACACACAGCUGGAGCUACUCAUUUCCUCUUUAGGUAGAACUCAUUAUGUUUAUAGUUAAUUAUGUAUUUGUUCUUAGGUAUAUCAAAUUCACAUGAAGAACCAGUAAGCUAGCCUGAAUUCUGAAUGGGCCCCAAAAACCCAUACUCAUGUGUCUCUUUAGCAGAAUUCAGGGGAAAAAAAUUAUAUUUCCCAGUUACUUGGAAGUAUUCCGAGCUAACAUUAAAUCUAAAGAACUUCUAUCUCAAAAAAGACAAAAAUAUUUAAAAUCAACAAGCUGAUUAUAGAGUCGAAUAGCAGUUGCAAAUGUGGAACUCCAACUUUGAGAUCAUAAUACGUAAAAUACUGUGCAUAUAAAACAUAUGAUACUUAUAUGAGACCAAAUGAUACUUAUAUGAGACCAAAAAAAGACAUGUGACCAUAUUUACUGUUAGGUGUCUGAAAUCUCUCCUGCAAAUGAAUGAUUUCAGAUGAGCCUGCCAGUCUUUUUGGCAGCUGCAGGCAGAAUUUCUUUGCAAACCAGAAUGCAAACAUAAUUCCAGAUAGGUAGCUCUCUGCAGGGAAGCCACAACAGCAACUCUGGACAUCAGUGGCACGUGUGUAUGGACUACAGUGAGUUCUCAGUAAGUACCUGUCCUCUGAAUCCUGGAGAAGAGAAAUUCUACUGGAGACACAAUACAACACAAAGCACAGUUAGCCCUGUUUGUUUGGUGCUGUCUAGGAUAUUUUACAUCCCACAAGGAAUACUGCAACCAGUCCCCUGUGAGGGAGCUGGAGGGCAAUGCUAUUCUCAGAAACCUUUCUUCCAAGGCAAUCUUUCUAGCAAAAGAAAGAAGAGAUGUCCUUCAGACUGUAAAAAGCAGCUCCAACAGCACUCUGCUUAGGGAACAUGGAAAGGAACUGCUAGCAGCAGGUUCAAAUUGAGAAGUGAUGUGAUGCUGCCUUACAUUAUACAUUUACAAGGUAUGAUUGUCUAGUCCUUACUUUUACGCUAGUACUUGAAUUUGAGGAGUGAGUGAAGGAUGCAGCUGCUUUUACAGCAAGAUAAGAGUAUGGGUUCCCAGAAGUACCCUCUCCACUGGGCUGCCUGACCUUGACAUGCCCUCAGGGUCAUUCUAGACAAGAACAAGCAGUGGAGCUGCAGGAGGAAACCACACCAUCUUCCAACCUUUCUGGCAAAGAAAGGGUGAAUCAGCCAACCUGUCAUGGAG